Molecule: ribosomal RNA, 1366 nt
Filed under: Staphylococcus saprophyticus
Lineage: Bacteria; Bacillati; Bacillota; Bacilli; Caryophanales; Staphylococcaceae
Description: bacterial SSU rRNA
Rfam family: Bacterial small subunit ribosomal RNA
Source: RNAcentral
AGCUUGCUCCUUUGACGUUAGCGGCGGACGGGUGAGUAACACGUGGGUAACCUACCUAUAAGACUGGGAUAACUUCGGGAAACCGGAGCUAAUACCGGAUAACAUUUGGAACCGCAUGGUUCUAAAGUGAAAGAUGGUUUUGCUAUCACUUAUAGAUGGACCCGCGCCGUAUUAGCUAGUUGGUAAGGUAACGGCUUACCAAGGCGACGAUACGUAGCCGACCUGAGAGGGUGAUCGGCCACACUGGAACUGAGACACGGUCCAGACUCCUACGGGAGGCAGCAGUAGGGAAUCUUCCGCAAUGGGCGAAAGCCUGACGGAGCAACGCCGCGUGAGUGAUGAAGGGUUUCGGCUCGUAAAACUCUGUUAUUAGGGAAGAACAAACGUGUAAGUAACUGUGCACGUCUUGACGGUACCUAAUCAGAAAGCCACGGCUAACUACGUGCCAGCAGCCGCGGUAAUACGUAGGUGGCAAGCGUUAUCCGGAAUUAUUGGCGCGUAAAGCGCGCGUAGGCGGUUUCUUAAGUCUGAUGUGAAAGCCCACGGCUCAACCGUGGAGGGUCAUUGGAAACUGGGAAACUUGAGUGCAGAAGAGGAAAGUGGAAUUCCAUGUGUAGCGGUGAAAUGCGCAGAGAUAUGGAGGAACACCAGUGGCGAAGGCGACUUUCUGGUCUGUAACUGACGCUGAUGUGCGAAAGCGUGGGGAUCAAACAGGAUUAGAUACCCUGGUAGUCCACGCCGUAAACGAUGAGUGCUAAGUGUUAGGGGGUUUCCGCCCCUUAGUGCUGCAGCUAACGCAUUAAGCACUCCGCCUGGGGAGUACGACCGCAAGGUUGAAACUCAAAGGAAUUGACGGGGACCCGCACAAGCGGUGGAGCAUGUGGUUUAAUUCGAAGCAACGCGAAGAAUCCUUACCAAAUCUUGACAUCCUUUGAAAACUCUAGAGAUAGAGCCUUCCCCUUCGGGGGACAAAGUGACAGGUGGUGCAUGGUUGUCGUCAGCUCGUGUCGUGAGAUGUUGGGUUAAGUCCCGCAACGAGCGCAACCCUUAAGCUUAGUUGCCAUCAUUAAGUUGGGCACUCUAGGUUGACUGCCGGUGACAAACCGGAGGAAGGUGGGGAUGACGUCAAAUCAUCAUGCCCCUUAUGAUUUGGGCUACACACGUGCUACAAUGGACAAUACAAAGGGCAGCUAAAACCGCGAGGUCAUGCAAAUCCCAUAAAGUUGUUCUCAGUUCGGAUUGUAGUCUGCAACUCGACUACAUGAAGCUGGAAUCGCUAGUAAUCGUAGAUCAGCAUGCUACGGUGAAUACGUUCCCGGGUCUUGUACACACCGGCCCGUCACACCACGAGAGUUUGUAACACCCG